RNAcentral lists this ribosomal RNA (305 nucleotides) under uncultured bacterium. RNAcentral's name for it is "bacterial SSU rRNA". It matches the Rfam family "Bacterial small subunit ribosomal RNA", at positions 333 to 656 of the family's 1533-position model. The record is from RNAcentral.
UGGUGCCUACGGGACGCAGCAGUGGGGAAUAUUGGACAAUGGGGGGAACCCUGAUCCAGCGACGCCGCGUGAGUGAAGAAGUAUUUCGGUAUGUAAAGCUCUAUCAGCAGGGAAGAAAAUGACGGUACCUGACUAAGAAGCCCCGGCUAACUACGUGCCAGCAGCCGCGGUAAUACGGAGGAUGCGAGCGUUAUCCGGAUUUAUUGGGUUUAAAGGGUGCGCAGGCGGUCUGUUAAGUCAGCGGUCAAAGCCCGGGGCUCAACCCCGGCCCGCCGUUGAAACUGGCAGUCUCGAGUUGGAGAGAA